This 1243-nucleotide long non-coding RNA is filed under the name Lactuca sativa (garden lettuce). RNAcentral describes it as "long non-coding RNA (LSAT_LNC002497)". The record is from RNAcentral. Lineage: Eukaryota; Viridiplantae; Streptophyta; Magnoliopsida; Asterales; Asteraceae.
UUAUUUUCAUUUCUAUCAGCAUCUUUAUCUUUAGGAAAGAUAAGAUGUAAACUCGAUUCUAACAUGAACUCUAAAUAAGGAGGCAAUUCAAAUUUCAAAAUCCUCUGAAUUCGAAUCUCAUUUGAAGAAUCUCCUUUUUCCUUUAAACGUGCUCUCCCAUAUCAGAUCAUUUCACAAUUCACUGCCAUUACCACCACCACUAAGCGUGCCGACACCAAAUCAGCAACACCCACUCUAGCUCCACCCCUGCCACUCCGUCCAGUGAACCUUGGUGCAACUUCGUCCUCCGCAACCCCACCCUUUAUCAAAAAUCGAUACUAUGGAAGACAAAUGAUGUGUGGUCUUUUGAUUUCAUCGUGAAUGCAAAAAAGAUAAAUCUGGAAUUUCCCCCGAACCCCCCUUCUCUCUCUCUCUCUCUCUCUCUCUCUCUCUCUCGAUUUCAUCUGGAUUCAAUAUAAAGGCUCUUAUUAUUGAGCAUAAAUUAGGGAUUUUUGUUUUCUACUUGAGAUUUAUGGAAAAUGGGGCGGUAUUUGAUAAAUUCAUACUGAUUUCUUCUACAAAACACCAAUAUCUCAAAAGGUAAUGUAAAAAUUAAGGUAAUUGAUGCUCUGUUUUUUUGGUUUCAGGAUUUCAUUUCUUUUAUGUGCUCUCUUCCUGUGUGAUUCAUCUGGUUUAUAUAUCUGAAAGUAAGUACAUCACAUUCUUUUAUCUAAUCAGUUAAUGUUUUUAAUUUUUGGGUUUCAUUUAUUAAUGGUUCAAUUAACCUUUUUCCCAAUGAUUAACUCUGAUGAAGAAGCAAAUCUAGGUUUUUUUGAUAGAGCUUGGAUUACCCUGUUUGCCAGAGAUGGAAGAUAAAGACAAAGGGUGUAUAUCGAUUUUUUCCCAGUGCUUAAUACAUAACUUUGUGCUUUUUUUUCCAUUUCUUUUUAAUGAUUCUUUAAUAAGGUGUAGCUUACAUUGAAUUGUCAUUUGAAAUAACCAAGCAAGAGCUACCUAAACCAUUUAAUUCUUAUUAACAUUCAUGAUAUGUGGUGAUGAACACGUGUUUUGGUGUAGGUUGUAAUGGCCAAAUAUGCUAACCUGAUUGAACAAAGUCCAAUGGAAUUGACUAUCUGAAAUGGAGUAACUAAAAUAAAAAAUCCAAGUCUAAUGGCAGCAGUUGCCCAUAAAAUGGCUGAAUCAUUUGUAUCUAUAAUGACCAUUCACCGCAACUGAUAGAUUAAGUAUAUAUAUAUAUAUAUAU